This 253-nucleotide ribosomal RNA is filed under the name uncultured bacterium. RNAcentral's name for it is "partial 16S ribosomal RNA". It matches the Rfam family "Bacterial small subunit ribosomal RNA", at positions 524 to 776 of the family's 1533-position model. The record is from RNAcentral.
UACGUAGGUGGCAAGCGUUAUCCGGAAUUAUUGGGCGUAAAGAGCGCGCAGGUGGUUAAUUAAGUCUGAUGUGAAAGCCCACGGCUUAACCGUGGAGGGUCAUUGGAAACUGGUUUUCUUGAGUGAGCGAGAAGUAUGCGGAAUGCGUGGUGUAGCGGUGAAAUGCAUAGAUAUCACGCAGAACUCCGAUUGCGAAGGCAGCAUACCGGCGCUCAACUGACGCUCAUGCACGAAAGUGUGGGUAUCGAACAGG